UUUAUCACCGAGUGCUUGCACUCACCGAUAAAGAGUUGAGUAGCGAACGGGUGAGUAACACGUGGGCAACCUGCCCAAAAGAGGGGGAUAACACUUGGAAACAGGUGCUAAUACCGCAUAACCAUAGUUACCGCAUGGUAACUAUGUAAAAGGUGGCUAUACUACCGCUUUUGGAUGGGCCCGCGGCGCAUUAGCUAGUUGGUAGGGUAAAGGCUUACCAAGGCAAUGAUGCGUAGCCGAAUUGAGAGGUUGAUCGGCCACAUUGGGACUGAGACACGGCCCAAACUCCUACGGGAGGCAGCAGUAGGGAAUCUUCCACAAUGGGCGAAAGCCUGAUGGAGCAACGCCGCGUGGGUGAAGAAGGUCUUCGGAUCGUAAAACCCUGUUGUUAGAGAAGAAAGUGCGUGAGAGUAACUGUUCACGUUUCGACGGUAUCUAACCAGAAAGCCACGGCUAACUACGUGCCAGCAGCCGCGGUAAUACGUAGGUGGCAAGCGUUAUCCGGAUUUAUUGGGCGUAAAGGGAACGCAGGCGGUCUUUUAAGUCUGAUGUGAAAGCCUUCGGCUUAACCGGAGUAGUGCAUUGGAAACUGGGAGACUUGAGUGCAGAAGAGGAGAGUGGAACUCCAUGUGUAGCGGUGAAAUGCGUAGAUAUAUGGAAGAACACCAGUGGCGAAAGCGGC
RNAcentral lists this ribosomal RNA (682 nucleotides) under uncultured Lactobacillus sp. Its description in RNAcentral is "bacterial SSU rRNA". It matches the Rfam family "Bacterial small subunit ribosomal RNA", at positions 63 to 725 of the family's 1533-position model. Lineage: Bacteria; Bacillati; Bacillota; Bacilli; Lactobacillales; Lactobacillaceae. The record is from RNAcentral.